GAUGAACGCUGGCGGCGUGCUUAACACAUGCAAGUCGAACGGAAAGGCCCAAGCUUGCUUGGGUACUCGAGUGGCGAACGGGUGAGUAACACGUGGGUGAUCUGCCCUUCACUUCGGGAUAAGCCUGGGAAACUGGGUCUAAUACCGGAUAGGACCACCUUUUGGAUGGUGUGGUGGAAAGUUUUUCGGUGUGGGAUGAGCUCGCGGCCUAUCAGCUUGUUGGUGGGGUAAUGGCCUACCAAGGCGUCGACGGGUAGCCGGCCUGAGAGGGUGUACGGCCACAUUGGGACUGAGAUACGGCCCAGACUCCUACGGGAGGCAGCAGGGGGGAAUAUUGCACAAUGGGCGCAAGCCUGAUGCAGCGACGCCGCGUGGGGGAGGACGGCCUUCGGGUUGGAAACUCCUUUCGCUAGGGACGAAGCGUUAUGUGACGGUACCUGGAGAAGAAGCACCGGCUAACUACGUG
RNAcentral lists this ribosomal RNA (466 nucleotides) under uncultured bacterium. Its description in RNAcentral is "partial 16S ribosomal RNA". It matches the Rfam family "Bacterial small subunit ribosomal RNA", at positions 28 to 507 of the family's 1533-position model. The record is from RNAcentral.